Molecule: long non-coding RNA, 403 nt
Organism: Macadamia integrifolia
Lineage: Eukaryota; Viridiplantae; Streptophyta; Magnoliopsida; Proteales; Proteaceae
Exons: 2
Source: RefSeq, a predicted model, not a curated record
GAUCGUGCCUAUGGCUAGUGACUUUUUUUCCUCCAGGGCCGAACACAGAGUGAGCGACUGGUAGAUGCCAGGCGCGGAGGACUAUUGCCAGGACUGUGCUUGUGACUUUUGUGCAUACGCGGCACCAUGAGAUGAUGAUGCAGGUACGAUCGUGCCUAUGGCUAGUGAAUUUUUCUCCUCCGGGGCCUAGCACGAAGUGAGUGACUGGUGGAUGCCGGACGUAAAGGAGUAUGGCCAGGACUGUGCUUGUGACUUUUGUGCAUAUGAGGCACCAUGAGGUGUACAGCGUAUUUUUGAUUAUUUUGUUACAGGUCUAUGGAUAUUAUGUUUAUAAAUUUGAUAUGUGUAAGUCUUGAAGGAUUGUAAACAGAAUAACUCAGUUAUUGAUGCCAUUUUAUUAUUA